CUUCCUUGUAAAAACUGGCACUGAUGGCUGCAGCUUGCUGCUUCUUUUUUUUUUUUUUUUCCCGGAGCUGGGGACUGAACCCAGGGCCUUGCGCUUGCUAGGCAAGUGCUCUACCACUGAGCUAAAUCCCCAACCCCUGCAGCUUGCUUCUUUAAGUGAGUGAUCACGAGGCACCAGGAGUAGCUGCAGAUGAUCCCGGUGCACAGAAGAGCAUAGGGAACAUCUGCACAGAGGUUCUAAUGAUAACAUACGCAAAUGCUUACAACUGUUCCUGCUGGUCAUGAAAAGGGAGUGACGUGGGAUAGAAAUAUAUUGGCUGAUGUAUUUCAUGACUACUUCUGGAGAGGUACACAAACAGCUGUCAGUAGUGGGCUCUGGGGGUGGGGGAACCUAGAUGGUAAGAAGACAAAUCAGUUUAUGCCAUGAGACAGAAACCAGUGCUUCACCCUUUGUACCUCAUGCAUUGCAGCUCCCUGAGUUAAAUUAAAAUAGUGUCUGUGCAUUUAUUAUUGGUAAAACACUCAGAACCAUUUCCUUGUUGCUUGAUCGAAAGUUCUGAAGAAAUGUCAAUGUCAACUUUCUUUCUGAAUUCAGGCUCUCCGGCUGAACUGUCUCCUACCACUCUCUCCCCUGUCAAUCACAGCUUGGAUUUGCAGCCAGUUACUUAUUCAGAACCUGCAUUUUGGUGUUCAAUCGCAUAUUAUGAACUAAACCAGAGGGUUGGAGAGACCUUCCAUGCGUCACAGCCCUCACUCACUGUAGACG
Molecule: long non-coding RNA, 765 nt
Filed under: Rattus norvegicus (Norway rat)
Lineage: Eukaryota; Metazoa; Chordata; Mammalia; Rodentia; Muridae
Description: long non-coding RNA NONRATT013585
Source: RNAcentral